UCCCAUAUGGUCUAGCGGUUAGGAUUUCUGGUUUUCAAACCGGGACGGCCCGGGUUAUACUCCCGGUAUGGGAA
This 74-nucleotide transfer RNA is filed under the name Nematostella vectensis (starlet sea anemone). It matches the Rfam family "tRNA". From Rfam's summary of the family: Transfer RNA (tRNA) molecules are approximately 80 nucleotides in length. The record is from Rfam by way of RNAcentral. Lineage: Eukaryota; Metazoa; Cnidaria; Anthozoa; Actiniaria; Edwardsiidae.